GAUCCUGGCUCAGAUUGAACGCUGGCGGCAGGCCUAACACAUGCAAGUCGAGCGGUAGCACAGAGAGCUUGCUCUCGGGUGACGAGCGGCGGACGGGUGAGUAAUGUCUGGGAAACUGCCUGAUGGAGGGGGAUAACUACUGGAAACGGUAGCUAAUACCGCAUAACGUCGCAAGACCAAAGUGGGGGACCUUCGGGCCUCAUGCCAUCAGAUGUGCCCAGAUGGGAUUAGCUAGUAGGUGGGGUAACGGCUCACCUAGGCGACGAUCCCUAGCUGGUCUGAGAGGAUGACCAGCCACACUGGAACUGAGACACGGUCCAGACUCCUACGGGAGGCAGCAGUGGGGAAUAUUGCACAAUGGGCGCAAGCCUGAUGCAGCCAUGCCGCGUGUGUGAAGAAGGCCUUCGGGUUGUAAAGCACUUUCAGCGGGGAGGAAGGCGGUGAGGUUAAUAACCUUGUCGAUUGACGUUACCCGCAGAAGAAGCACCGGCUAACUCCGUGCCAGCAGCCGCGGUAAUACGGAGGGUGCAAGCGUUAAUCGGAAUUACUGGGCGUAAAGCGCACGCAGGCGGUCUGUCAAGUCGGAUGUGAAAUCCCCGGGCUCAACCUGGGAACUGCAUUCGAAACUGGCAGGCUAGAGUCUUGUAGAGGGGGGUAGAAUUCCAGGUGUAGCGGUGAAAUGCGUAGAGAUCUGGAGGAAUACCGGUGGCGAAGGCGGCCCCCUGGACAAAGACUGACGCUCAGGUGCGAAAGCGUGGGGAGCAAACAGG
RNAcentral lists this ribosomal RNA (770 nucleotides) under Klebsiella pneumoniae. RNAcentral's name for it is "bacterial SSU rRNA". It matches the Rfam family "Bacterial small subunit ribosomal RNA", at positions 15 to 776 of the family's 1533-position model. The record is from RNAcentral. Lineage: Bacteria; Pseudomonadati; Pseudomonadota; Gammaproteobacteria; Enterobacterales; Enterobacteriaceae.